CGGCGGACGGGUGAGUAACGCGUGGGUAACCUGCCUCAUACAGGGGGAUAACAGUUAGAAAUGACUGCUAAUACCGCAUAAGACCACGGUACCGCAUGGUACAGUGGUAAAAACUCCGGUGGUAUGAGAUGGACCCGCGUCUGAUCAGGUAGUUGGUGAGGUAACGGCCCACCAAGCCGACGAUCAGUAGCCGACCUGAGAGGGUGACCGGCCACAUUGGGACUGAGACACGGCCCAG
RNAcentral lists this ribosomal RNA (238 nucleotides) under uncultured bacterium. RNAcentral describes it as "partial 16S ribosomal RNA". It matches the Rfam family "Bacterial small subunit ribosomal RNA", at positions 96 to 334 of the family's 1533-position model. The record is from RNAcentral.